Molecule: long non-coding RNA, 571 nt
Filed under: Pan troglodytes (chimpanzee)
Lineage: Eukaryota; Metazoa; Chordata; Mammalia; Primates; Hominidae
Description: long non-coding RNA NONPTRT016883
Source: RNAcentral
AGGUGUCAAAGCCUGGGGGCUCAGGACCUUCAGGAACAAUGCCCAGAGCAGUAGCCAUGGAUGGCCAGAACCAAGGCCUGAGCCCAAGGGUCUGCAAAGGGGCUGCCCCACUCUCGCGGCAGGACACCUCCCACGGGGCUGCUCCCACUCCAGACCGCAGGCCUAGCCCCGCGCCGCCCCACCUGCUCUGAUGAGGCCCUGCGCGAUGGCCCCCGCCAUGCGGCCCGCGCCCACGAAGCCCACGCGCCGCGGAGACGGCUCCGCAGCUGCCAUCUUGUUGCCUCGGACGCCGCUGCGCUCACCGCCCAUCCACAGGCCGCGCCCCGCCCACAGAUCUAGGCCCCACCCCCGCCCUCCAAUAGGACUCGCCUCCCCGUCCCCACCCUCGCCGAUUGGUUACUGGGACGGCACACUCCGGCCGGCUUUUUGUCCGCACUCUACAGGUUCGCAAGGCGCGGGAACCCCGCCUCUCGCUGCUUAUUGGCCCGAAAGGGCUAUGCCGCCCCUCACUGCCCAUUGGCUGAGAGAAACUGGGGGCAGGGCCAAUGGGGGCGGGGCCGUAAGGGGCGGG